UACGUAGGGGGCGAGCGUUAUCCGGAUUUAUUGGGUUUAAAGGGUGCGUAGGCGGACUGUUAAGUCAGCGGUAAAAGCCCGGGGCUCAACCCCGGCGAGCCGUUGAAACUGGCUGUCUUGAGAUGUCGAGAGGUAUGCGGAAUGCGCAGUGUAGCGGUGAAAUGCUUAGAUAUUGCGCAGAACUCCGAUUGCGAAGGCAGCAUACCGGCGGCCGACUGACGCUGAGGCACGAAAGUGCGGGUAUCGAACAGG
Molecule: ribosomal RNA, 252 nt
Filed under: uncultured Bacteroidales bacterium
Lineage: Bacteria; Pseudomonadati; Bacteroidota; Bacteroidia; Bacteroidales
Description: partial 16S ribosomal RNA
Rfam family: Bacterial small subunit ribosomal RNA
Source: RNAcentral